AAUGUAUAGGUAUUAGCUCCAAGUGUCACUCUAUUAAAGUAAACCCACUCAGAACAGUGGUUAAUUUAGAUAGGAAUUACCUUACCUGUUUUUAAGUAUCUGCAUUAAGUGUCUCAUCUCCUGUAGUUUCUGGGGAAGGACAGGCAUUGCAGCAGAACAUUUAUGCUGGGCAAGUCCCUCUGCAGUCUUCUCACUUACCCACCCUGUUACUCACGAGGAAUCAAUUCUGAGUUAGGCAUGAAUCUCACCAUAGUAACUGUCAGAAAUGUAUUUCUUCAUUCAAAAAUUCCAGUGUAAAACCAGUACCUAGGCUCACAGGUGGUGGAUAGCUCUAGUUAACUAAUAGAUGUUAUCCAACGCUGGAGGUGAAUUAUUUAUUUCCAAGAGAAUAGAAAUGACCUGGUGCCACUGAGAGACAGACAGAGGAAAACAUUUUUCCAGUUUUAUCCAGAAGGAAGCAGCUGGGACAGCAUUGCAAGAAGUCUUCCUUGCAAAGUGUGCAAAGUUUUUGAUGAGUUGAGAAAUGAGAAUAACAGAGCUACUGAAACUCCAGAGCAUCAGAAAUCCAGUGCAUUAAUUUCAUAUGAAAUGAUGCUGUGCCUCUAACUCUUGAAGAGGUAGCCCUGAAGAAUCCAGUGCUGGAAGCUAAAUCAAGAGUUACAAAUUACACUGCUAAAGAAGAAAUCUCCCAAACUGGAAAAGUAUGUGGAAGCUAGAAAUGGUCUUUUAAAAUAUUCUCUAAAAGCUACAUCAGGUGACAAGCUGGGAGAAAAAAAUGCUGUUUACAACAGACAUGCAAGAUUUCAAAAGGGAUUAGUAGAGACACAUUUUGUUGAAGUCACCUAAAAUCAAGAACAAAGGUUGUAACAUUUUUAAAUGGUAUAUUUCUGCACUUAACUGCUAAUAAAAGUGGCUACUAAUUGUUAGGCCGAAGAGUUAUAUGGGAGGGACCAUUAACAUGUUGUUCUGUUUUUGAAGUAUCUGUCUGCAUUAACAUAGGGCAUUGUAGUGCAGAUUACAUUGAAAUGCUGACUACUCUGUGGUAAUAUUGCUAGGAGGAAAACAUUCAAUCCUACAGUAAAGGAUUAAUAUUAGCUAACUCAGAAAAGGGAAGUAUGUUCUUGAUAUUUUAUAUGUUCUUCCUCACAACUAAAGAUAUUUAUUUCCUGUGAACAUUUAGCAUUUCUGGUUUCCACAAGUUUUUAACCUAAACCAAAGCAGUUACUAACAGUAUAAGAGCUUUGACAUUAAAGCAGGCUUCUUCCUGAUAAAUCUCUUGUACCUCAGGAGAAGUAGAGAAGGAAACAUCACAGAUCUAAGCUUUAGUUUUACAAGCAACUCAGAUUGCCAAGGAUGAGGUUAGUUUUCUUUGCAGCAGUCAGCCUUGUCUAAGAGAAACCAGUACUUGUAAACUGCUAAAAAAACAUACAUUUGGAUCAAUGUGAUGAGAUCAAUCCAAGUCAGUACCAAGUCCUCUACCAUUACCACACUAGAUUUUCAGAUGUACAUUUUCAUAACUGGUUGUUUUUUUCCAAAAUGAAUUAAGUGGCAAAAAAAAAAAAAAAAGGGAAAAAAAAAAAAGAGUAAAUUUUAUUUGACACAACCAAGAAAAAAAGAAGCUUAUUUCUUUGCAUACGUUAAUCAGUCCUCUCUGUGUAUCUAUGUUAUCCCUUCGUGGCUGCAGACUGGGAGUGGAUAUGAGUACUGAAUUUCUUCUAAGCUGAAAGGUACGCCACUUCCAUCUUCUCCCCAUCCCCUUUGUUCUUCCCUCUGAACAAAGGAGUUUCUCCUACCAGGCUUUCCCUCUCUUUGCUCUCCUUUCCCUCGCUGCCCGUGCCCCUUCCCCCACCUUCUUGCCCUUCUCCUGCCUGUGCUGGCUGCCUUCCCACCCUCCCUGCCAGCAGGCCUGCCUCUUUGUUCCCACAGCACUCCGGAGCUGUGCAGCCAGAGCCCAGCUCUCUUUUUCUCAUGGGGGAACUUGGGUGGCUUGAAGCCCCGCUGACAGCAGACAAGGUGGCAGAGGAAAGA
This is a long non-coding RNA of Anas platyrhynchos (mallard), 2028 nucleotides long. RefSeq lists it as uncharacterized. The record is from RefSeq and is a predicted model, not a curated record. NCBI's taxonomy places the organism in Eukaryota, Metazoa, Chordata, Aves, Anseriformes, Anatidae.